UAGGGAAUCUUCGGCAAUGGGGGGGACCCUGACCGAGCAACGCCGCGUGAGUGAAGAAGGUUUUCGGAUCGUAAAGCUCUGUUGUUAAGGAAAAACGAGUGUGAGAAUGGAAAGUUCAUGCUGUGACGGUACUUAACCAGAAAGGGACGGCUAACUACGUGCCAGCAGCCGCGGUAAUACGUAGGUCCCGAGCGUUGUCCGGAUUUGUUGGGCGUAAAGCGAGCGCAGGCGGUUAGAAAAGGCUGAAGUGAAAGGCAGUGGCUCAACCAUUGUAGGCUUUGGAAACUGUUGAACUUGAGUGCAGAAGGGGAGAGUGGAAUUCCAUGUGUAGCGGUGAAAUGCGUAGAUAUAUGGAGGAACACCGGUGGCGGAAGCGGCUCUCUGGUCUGUAACUGACGCUGAGGCUCGAAAGCGUGGGGAGCGAACAGG
Molecule: ribosomal RNA, 429 nt
Filed under: Bacteroidota bacterium
Lineage: Bacteria; Pseudomonadati; Bacteroidota
Description: Bacteroidetes bacterium partial 16S ribosomal RNA
Rfam family: Bacterial small subunit ribosomal RNA
Source: RNAcentral